ACCAUCAUGCCUGGCUACUUUUUUUAUUUUUUAGUAGAGACAGGGUUUCACCAUGUUGGUCAGGCUCAUCUGGAACGCCUGCCCUCGGGUGAUCCGUCCGCAUCAGCCUCCCAAAUGCUGGGAUUACAGGUGAGGACACUGUCUUGUGUACCACCAUGUCUCUUGCACCUUGAACUGUUCCUGGCACAUUGCAGGUACUCAAUCAAUAUUUGUCAAACAAAUAAAUGAAAGUCAAUGUUCACUAAGCCCUUGGGAUUUGCUGAACCCACUUCUACUGCCCCAAAUCUUCAGUGAGUUCUAUUAUCCCCAUUUUACAGAUGAAGAAACUGAGGAUGGGAGGCCCGCUCCCUUGCCCACAGUCAUGUAGCUGGCCUAGGAUGGAUGUGGAAUCCUGCCCCAGCAGUGGUGAUAUUAUUAUACCCAUGUUACAGAUACAGAAGACUGAGGCUCAGCAUGGGCCCCUUGCCAUGAUCACACAGCUAGAGGGUAAGAGGGGCUGGCUCUGCCUCCUAUGCCACUCCUGAUCCACUCUCCAAUCCCUCCCCCAGUCCCCUGCCCCAAGCCAUCAGUUAGGAUGAUUCUUAUAGCCAGAGGUGUGACAUGCCAAAGGUGUCUCUUUACCCCAUACACUCACUCUGGAACCAGGACAAGGUUUCAGUGAGGUGGACCUGGGUUCUAUCUGGACCAGGGACUUUGCCUCCAAGCUCAUUUCCUCAUCUGUAAAACAGGGAUCCAACAAACCCUCAGCCUGAAUGGGCUGUGGUAGGGUCCUGAGGGGGUUAGGACCUUGCAUCUAAAUGUGGAGACCCCAGGGGUCAGGCGUGGAGUCUGCCUCCCUGCUGGGUAGCCUCAGGCGUGUACAUCUUUGUCUCCACCUCAUGGAGUCACUCUGAGAAUAAAAUGAACAUCAGAUCUUG
Molecule: long non-coding RNA, 917 nt
Organism: Cercocebus atys (sooty mangabey)
Lineage: Eukaryota; Metazoa; Chordata; Mammalia; Primates; Cercopithecidae
Exons: 3
Source: RefSeq, a predicted model, not a curated record